This 496-nucleotide ribosomal RNA is filed under the name uncultured Glomeromycotina. RNAcentral describes it as "partial small subunit ribosomal RNA". It matches the Rfam family "Eukaryotic small subunit ribosomal RNA", at positions 591 to 1092 of the family's 1831-position model. Lineage: Eukaryota; Fungi; Glomeromycota. The record is from RNAcentral.
CCAAUAGCGUAUAUUAAAGUUGUUGCAGUUAAAAAGCUCGUAGUUGAAUUUCGGGAUCAAUUUAUUGGUCGUGCAAUAGUACGUACUGAUUUUAUUGAUUCCUCUCUUCUGAAGAACUAUGAUGUCAUUAAUUUGGUGUCAUAGGGAAUCAGGACUGUUACUUUGAAAAAAUUAGAGUGUUUAAAGCAGGCUCACGCUUGAAUACAUUAGCAUGGAAUAACGAAAUAGGACGUUUGAUUCUAUUUUGUUGGUUUCUAGGAUAGACGUAAUGAUUAAUAGGGAUAGUUGGGGGCAUUAGUAUUCAAUUGUCAGAGGUGAAAUUCUUGGAUUUAUUGAAGACUAACUACUGCGAAAGCAUUUGCCAAGGAUGUUUUCAUUAAUCAAGAACGAAAGUUAGGGGAUCGAAGACGAUCAGAUACCGUCGUAGUCUUAACCAUAAACUAUGCCGACUAGGGAUCGGAUGAUGUUAGAUUAAUGACUCAUUCGGCGCCUUACG